UGCCUCAGACAUGCAAGUCGAGCGCGAAAGUUCCUUUCGGGGAGCGAGUAGAGUGGCGCACGGGUGAGUAACACGUAGGUAAUCUACCUUUGGAUGGGGAAUAACAACCGGAAACGGUUGCUAAUACCGCAUAAUGCAGCGGCACCUAAUGGUGACAGUUGUUAAAGCGGGGGAUCGUAAGACCUCGCGUCUGAAGAGGAGCCUGCGGCGGAUUAGCUAGUUGGUAAGGUAACGGNUUACCAAGGCGAUGAUCCGUAGCCGGCCUGAGAGGGCGGUCGGCCACACUGACACUGACAUACGGGUCAGACUCCUACGGGAGGCAGCAGUCGGGAAUUUUGGGCAAUGGGCGAAAGCCUGACCCAGCAACGCCGCGUGAAGGAUGAAAUCCUUCGGGAUGUAAACUUCGCAAGAACGGGAAGAAUAAACCGGUGUUAACACCACCGGCGAUGACGGUACUGUUUGUAAGCUCCGGCUAACUCCGUGCCAGCAGCCGCGGUAAUACGGGGGGAGCAAGCGUUGUUCGGAUUUACUGGGCGUAAAGGGCGCGUAGGCGGCCACUGCA
RNAcentral lists this ribosomal RNA (562 nucleotides) under uncultured earthworm cast bacterium. RNAcentral's name for it is "bacterial SSU rRNA". It matches the Rfam family "Bacterial small subunit ribosomal RNA", at positions 45 to 586 of the family's 1533-position model. The record is from RNAcentral.